GAAAAUAUGUAGACCUAACAUCUAUCUCCCUGCUCCAGUUUCAAGAGAAAAGACCUUAUUCAGAGAAAUAUUUAGAAGACUCUUGUGGAAUUCUUGCUGUGAGUGGUUUUUCCUUCCCUGCCAUUGGUGCGACUGUUUCCCCCUUCCGUCAAAUUGCUGUCUAGAUGUUUCUCUCUGACCCCAAUUUUCUCGGAGUUUGGGAUUAUCAAUCUAAAAUCAGAGGUGAGAAUUCAUCAGUGUUAUCGAUAAGACUUUGCAAUUAUUUCUUUCAAACUGAACUUUUUCCCUAUUCACUUAUUUUUCCUCAUUGCAAAAUAAUCAAAGCAUUGAUGAGUGUUUCUGUUUAAAUUCAAAGGACAUUCCACCUUUAACCUUAGCAUUCAUGAGACACAAAAUGGGUUUUUCUUUUUGCUGAUUUAAAAAGCUGCUAUGAAGCUGCACAGUGCGGAAGAGGGCACCCCUGCUCCAGAAAAGAAGAAACAAAACUGCCUGCCAUAGACACUUGGUAGGGAGUGGCAAAUGGAAUCUUGGUUUGUUUUUCUCUUAGGACUUUGACAAUUAUUUUUCCUUGAAAAGAAUAAGAGAAUCUACCUAAAAUAUUAAUACUAGUUUCAGAGCUCUAGGAUAAUAUAGAGCAGAGUCUCUUUUUUUUAAAAAAGGAAAGCGGUUUCAUUUCUGACAGUGGAUUUCUUCCACUGAUGUGCACACUCUUUGACAUGAAAAGCUGCACGAAGCUGCCUUGAAUUCAUUCUGCAGAUGGAAAGUUGCAAGUACGGUAAUUAGCUAAGCAGUGGCAAGGCCGACCAUCUGAGGUUUGAUUUCUCAUCAAGAGAUAGUGUCCGACACACGUGCCACUGAGCAUGCUUGUAAGAGUUCCACGUUUCAGAUGCACUGAGAAUGCAUGCAUGGAACACACGUCCCCCCAGCCCAACAACCGCACUCCCAAAUUGCCCCUGCACACAUAUAUUCUAACACGGUUACAACACAGCAUGCUCCCGAGCCUCAGACAAUAAGCUGCCCAAAAAGAUGCUCAAGCAACAGUCGCAGUGGGCCUGACUUCUGGUAUCCGCAGCCACUCCAGAGAACUUCCUGUGAGCCCCAGGGACUCAGAGGAGGCUGAGUGAUGAGGAAGGUGGCCAGAGGCUGCCGGACUAGCCCCAAGCAGUCACUCUGCUUCCUGCCUUUGUUUUCCCUCAAACUCUCAUCUUUCUGGAGAAAACAAAACCCUGUCCUGGGGGUGUAGACCAGCCAUGACACCCACUAAUAACCUCUAGCAAAACAAUAGUUUUAAAAUUACUUAAUGCUCUCUUGACUUUCUGACUUUUAAAAUGAAAAUUGUAUUUUGUCACUGUAUCCUUUUGUUGGCAAGUGGAAUACUGCACUCAAACCAAGCAGGCAAUGUAAAACUAUGACUUCAAAGCCAUUCCUUGAUAAAACAUCAAAACGGCCCAGAGUGAACCAACUGUUAUCUGUAAUUCAACAGAUAAUUAACUGAAACUCAGUGCUCAAAUUGCUACUGGGAGUUUCUGCAGCCAAGGUCAUUCUCAUGGUGCUGCUUGAUUUUGUUUCUGUGUCUCUUAUAUCGUUUUAGGCAGGGAGGAACUUGGAUUGUCCUUCAGUAAAAUUCCACUUUGAUGCGCAAAGCGAACUUGAAUUUCUGCUUGGCCUACCACAGGCCUGCAACAUGCACUUUCUCCUCGAGGUGAGAAGGUCUUUUUCUCUCCACUCUGAAACACCGCUGCCUGCACCUUUUGCUGAGUUUAGAGUAGCAUCAUACUUUCUGCCACGAAUGCCACAAAUACUGCCUUUUCAACUUGGUUUUGUAAAAUGUAAUGGUACUAAAUCCGCCAAAGGGAUAAAGCACCCUUACUUUGGAUUUGCCAGUCCCAUGGGUACAUAACUGACCUACUACUCUCCCACCUCCCAACCUUGAAACUCCAGCCCCCUGAACGGCCUCACCACUCCAACCCCCACUGCAAUUUCCCACUCCCCACCUCCAUGCAUUGCCCAUUCACCAAGCCAGCCACAUCUCCCUUUAAGUUGAAAACUCACCCGAAAGCCCACUACCUCUUCCAUGCAGCCUCCCCUGAUUAAGUGAGGAUGAAGAAACCUCCAAAGCAUGGCCGACAAACUCCCAAUAAACGAGAACACACACCCCCCCAAAACAAACACAGAAACUCACAAAAGAAGAAAAUGACACAUUCUCUACUUUUGAUUUGUGAAACUCCUAUGGGGCUAAGGAGAUCAAUUUUAUACCAAUAAAUCAUUUCAGAAAAUGAAGUCAUUUUAAUAUUCUUGGGGUUACUCAGCAAAACACUUUGCUUGGACGUCUCUUUUGUACUUUCCUUAAAUUCUUCUUCCUUUUCUUCUCGGCUUUUUGAACGUAUGACUGAAGGGAACUGCCACUCACUGACACGGACAACAGUAAAGGAACUUGGUCUUCACUAUGCCUCAUAGUGGUGGGUCACACUGCCCAGGAGGAACCCGCAAUGAGACCGGCAAAUGCCUUAACCAUCUCAUUGUCUCAUCAGGAAGAAGCUUAAAUGACUCUUCUUGCUCACAUACUUCCUGGGCAAACAUGUCUGCUCUGUUGGGAUAAAGGACGCUCUAGACCAGGCUCUGCUGAAAGAUCCAGGGCAAAGGUUCCUGACAAGACUAUGUCCAGCCUCAAAUAAGGCCACAGAAGAGCCCAGGCUCGCUGACGAGCACCGGCUCCGAGGCAGUCACAUCAGGAGACAGAAACAGACAUGUUGGUGCUGCCCUCUCAGGUCAGUGCAAAUGCCACUUGAGGAGGGCUGAGAGCUUUGCAGCAUAAAAUGACCAGAACAAGGAGAAACACAGAUGCAAUGGCAAUAGCUGGCAAUUCGCACAUGGCGUCAAACACCACUGCCACAGAAGCUUUUUAGCUACAAGCCACGCUAUGCAACCUUUAAGCAAAACAUUAUUGAUUUUGUGGUUGUAAAAACAUACCUUCAACUGCAGAACUCAGUUUUAUGACACCUUGAAUAAAAACAAAAAGUGGCAGUUAUAUAAUGGACCCAAAUCGCCUUUUCCAGGCUUCUCAUAACACACGCAUGCUUCAGAUUUGGAUUUUUCUUUUUCUGCUGGCAUUGCAAGAACGUAACUAAACAAAUAUCAACUUCAAAAAUAAAAUAAUUUUUAGUCUUAACUAGGUCUCAUGGAUGUCUUCUUUUCCCCCACUAAAACCAUUUGGGGAAAUUUUUCACUAAAAAUGGGAUCAAACAUGUUUUUGGAUGGGACAAAGGCCAAGUCUGCCUGAGUGACUAUUUCUGUGUAUAAAUUAUACCAGAUUAUGGAUCAAUAAAAGUUCACACAAUAGGAUGCUAGGGACCAGCACUUCCUCUUUGAUACUGUAUCUAGAGAUCAUCUGAUGCAUGUUAGGACAGAGUUUCUGUUGAAACAUGUAACAGGUGGUUAAAAACCAUGGUGUGAUCUGGUAACUUUCUUCUCUGGGGUGGUUGGGCCAGAGCCCUUUUCUUGGUCUGAUGGGUUUAGAUUUCAGCUCCCUCAAGUCAGAGAGUGAACGGGUUAUCUGAGCAAGUCAAGUUGUUCAUGAAGCAAGUCAGUACCCUUGACUGAUAUUUAUGCACCUUUGCAGUGAAUUUUUUUUUUUUUUGAGACAGAGUCUCGCUCUGUCACCCAGGCUGGAGUGCAGUGGCGCAAUCUCGGAUCUUGGAUCUCGGCUCACUGCAACCUCUGCCUCCUGGGUGGACGCCAUUCUCCUGCCUCAGCCUCCCGAGUGGCUGGGACUACAGGCGC
This 3780-nucleotide long non-coding RNA is filed under the name Homo sapiens (human). RNAcentral's name for it is "HSALNT0247212". The record is from RNAcentral. Lineage: Eukaryota; Metazoa; Chordata; Mammalia; Primates; Hominidae.